CCCUUCAGGCCUAACACAUGCAAGUCGAGCGCGAAAGGGGGCAACCCCGAGUAGAGCGGCGGACGGGUGAGCAAUACAUCGGAACGUACCCAGUAGUGGGGGACAACCUCGAGAAAUCGAGGCUAAUACCGCAUACGACCCACGGGUGAAAGCGGGGGACCGCAAGGCCUCGCGCUAUUGGAGCGGCCGAUGUCCGAUUAGCUAGUUGGCGGGGUAAGAGCCCACCAAGGCGACGAUCGGUAGCUGGUCUGAGAGGACGACCAGCCACACUGGGACUGAGACACGGCCCAGACUCCUACGGGAGGCAGCAGUGGGGAAUUUUGGACAAUGGGGGCAACCCUGAUCCAGCCAUGCCGCGUGCGGGAAGAAGGCCUUCGGGUUGUAAACCGCUUUCGGCCGGAACGAAAUCGCCCGGGUGAACAUCCCGGGUGGAUGACGGUACCGGAAGAAGAAGCACCGGCUAACUACGUGCCAGCAGCCGCGGUAAUACGUAGGGUGCGAGCGUUAAUCGGAAUUACUGGGCGUAAAGCGUGCGCAGGCGGUCUCGUAAGACAGGUGUGAAAUCCCCGGGCUUAACCUGGGAACUGCGCUUGUGACUGCGAGGCUGGAGUGCGGAAGAGGGAGGUGGAAUUCCACGUGUAGCAGUGAAAUGCGUAGAGAUGUGGAGGAACACCGAUGGCGAAGGCAGCCUCCUGGUCCAGCACUGACGCUCAUGCACGAAAGC
Molecule: ribosomal RNA, 724 nt
Filed under: uncultured bacterium
Lineage: Bacteria
Description: bacterial SSU rRNA
Rfam family: Bacterial small subunit ribosomal RNA
Source: RNAcentral